RNAcentral lists this ribosomal RNA (255 nucleotides) under uncultured bacterium. Its description in RNAcentral is "partial 16S ribosomal RNA". It matches the Rfam family "Bacterial small subunit ribosomal RNA", at positions 74 to 334 of the family's 1533-position model. The record is from RNAcentral.
CAAACCAAAGCUGGCGACCGGCGCACGGGUGAGUAACACGUAUCCAACCUGCCUCAUACUCGGGGAUAGCCUUUCGAAAGAAAGAUUAAUAUCCGAUAGCAUAUAUUUCCCGCAUGGGUUUUAUAUUAAAGAAAUUCGGUAUGAGAUGGGGAUGCGUUCCAUUAGUUUGUUGGGGGGGUAACGGCCCACCAAGCCUUCGAUGGAUAGGGGUUCUGAGAGGAAGGUCCCCCACAUUGGAACUGAGACACGGUCCAA